Molecule: non-coding RNA, 158 nt
Organism: Glycine max (soybean)
Lineage: Eukaryota; Viridiplantae; Streptophyta; Magnoliopsida; Fabales; Fabaceae
Source: Rfam
CCGUUAAAUGAUGACGUGACAUACGGAGUGUCACAUCAUCCUGCCUUGUCACCAACACCUCAUUGCCACAUCAUCACCUUCAAUGAUGUGACACUAACGUGUCAAUGAUUGGGCGUGAUGAUGUGGCACUCUAUCUGUCACGUCAUCACUUAACAGAA